Molecule: ribosomal RNA, 804 nt
Filed under: Brevibacterium sp.
Lineage: Bacteria; Bacillati; Actinomycetota; Actinomycetes; Micrococcales; Brevibacteriaceae
Description: bacterial SSU rRNA
Rfam family: Bacterial small subunit ribosomal RNA
Source: RNAcentral
CUUGCUGGGGUGGAUGAGUGGCGAACGGGUGAGUAACACGUGAGUAACCUGCCCCCGACUUCGGGAUAAGCCCGGGAAACUGGGUCUAAUACCGGAUAUGACCGUUCCUCGCAUGAGGAAUGGUGGAAAGUUUUUUCGGUUGGGGAUGGGCUCGCGGCCUAUCAGUUUGUUGGUGAGGUAAUGGCUCACCAAGACGACGACGGGUAGCCGGCCUGAGAGGGCGACCGGCCACACUGGGACUGAGACACGGCCCAGACUCCUACGGGAGGCAGCAGUGGGGAAUAUUGCACAAUGGGGGAAACCCUGAUGCAGCGACGCAGCGUGCGGGAUGACGGCCUUCGGGUUGUAAACCGCUUUCAGUAGGGAAGAAGCCAUCCUUUUAGGGUGGUGACGGUACCUGCAGAAGAAGUACCGGCUAACUACGUGCCAGCAGCCGCGGUAAUACGUAGGGUACGAGCGUUGUCCGGAAUUAUUGGGCGUAAAGAGCUCGUAGGUGGUUGGUCACGUCUGCUGUGGAAACGCAACGCUUAACGUUGCGCGUGCAGUGGGUACGGGCUGACUAGAGUGCAGUAGGGGAGUCUGGAAUUCCUGGUGUAGCGGUGAAAUGCGCAGAUAUCAGGAGGAACACCGGUGGCGAAGGCGGGACUCUGGGCUGUAACUGACACUGAGGAGCGAAAGCAUGGGGAGCGAACAGGAUUAGAUACCCUGGUAGUCCAUGCCGUAACGUUGGGCACUAGGUGUGGGGGACAUUCCACGUUCUCCGCGCCGUAGCUAACGCAUUAAGUGCCCCGCCUGGGGAGUACG